AACCAUGUCCUUACUCGAAACCCACAGCCUGAAGGCGCUAACAGUGGCAAGCUUCCUUCACAAUCCUCACGUCACCGCUCAACCCUUUCCCCAACUUCCACCUGAAUCGCAAAAUCACAAUCACUCUCAACCAAACCAAUUUUCAACAUCCUUCUCCCAAUGUACCCAAGCUCCAGAACGCAAUCCAACGCGGCAACACGAACCCCCAAAUCGCUCGAACGCAAAAACCCUACAAUUUUGAGGAUCUCUCCGCUGCAGAGAAUUUCCUCCAUCAACGGGCUUUGAAUUAACCUAAUCAGUGACGAUAAGACGCAGACGGAGCAUCCCGAAGCCAUCGCUAUCAAGGCCUUGAUGGUGGGGCCCAUCAAGACCAACCCGACAAACACGUUCUUGUUGAACUUCACUAGCGCGGCUAUCGUAAUCGCCGCUUCCUCCUUCACCCGCUUCGAAAUUGAGCUCUCGAACAGCAUGCACUACAGAAGCGUGAACACCUUCGCUCUAAGAAUCAAGUCCUGGAACUCCAAAUCGAAACCCUGGGAGAGCCUCUGUCGGAACUCGACCAGAACCUUAACCUGUUGCUGUUGUUGUUGAAGCGUGUGGACGAGAUCGCGAAUGUUGAGGCGGUCGAUGUAGGAUAGGAUUUGGGAUUCGAUGGCACGUGCGAGGUGGGAGAUUUUGUAGGUGGUGACAUGGUGAUGGAGGAGGGAUCGGGGGGAGUAGUCGUGGUGCUUGUGGAGUUUGUCGAUUAGGGUGCGGGAGAGGUUGCGGAGGGUUGGGUCGACGGAGGAGAGGGUGGCGUGGGCUUUUGCUUCGAGGUCGAGGGCGGCGCGUGAAGCAGUUCUGCAGUGGAAGGAGAAGGGGGUUGGUGGUGGUGUGAAGGUCUUUGGAAGCUUCUUUGAGGGAGUUGAGGAGAGUUAGGGCAUCCAUGAGAAUGAGAGAAAGAAAACAAUAGUGGAUAGGAUAAAAAUUGAGUUAAUUUGUUUUCUGAGGGAGAGUGUGGAAAGGACCAGAAAGGAGAAGUGGCACAAAAGACAAGAAAGGGGAGGCGAAUAGAGAUCACUGAUGGCAACUAUAUUACAACUAUCAGUCCUCAUGGCUCAUGAUCUUACACAACCCACAGCCACUCAGAUUCACUUAAAAAGGAAUGUUUGAGGUAAUUACGAGUUUUUAAUUUUUGGAAUUUAAAUAUAAUUUUUAAAAUAAAAUGUGUUGGAAAAAAAGAAGUUGAAAUGGUUUUUAAAAUUAAUUUAUUUUUUUAAAACUAAAAUUGAUUAUUAUUUAAAGUUUCAAAACUCAAAUCAAGAAUCAUCCCAAACGAUUCCUUAGUGUAUGUUUUGUCUGAGGUUAAAAAUACUAUAAUGUCUCAAUGCCUUUUUCAAUAUAAAUUCAAUCAACACAUAAAAGUAAAAAUCUUUAUCUGUUAAUAAAAUUAUUUUUUGUAUCAAAUGUAAUUUGAGAACAGAUUCUAAAAAAAAAAAUUGGUUUCCUUCAUUUUUUUGUUUGUUUGUUGAUUUCUUGAUAUGUAUGGAUAAUCACUUUUUAAAAAUGAUUUUAAUUAUUAUUAUUAUUUAUUUUAAAUUUUUUAUGUUUUAGUAAUGAUAUUAUUGUAUUAUACUUUUCUGUUUGAAAAACUGAAAUUUAGUUAUUAUUAUCUUUAAAAGGUUAUUUAGUGUCAUUGUUUUUAUUUGUUAUUUUAAAAAUAAAUAAGGAAACUAUUAAUUAUUGUUUAAUUUUUUUCUUAUUUUGAACAUUUUCAAUCUCAAAGGAAAUCAAAGAGCACAGAUAAUAAGAAUAUUGUCAAAUAAGUUUAUAAUCAUGCACAGAAAAGUUAACAGUACAUUAUAAUGUGUUAAAAAUAAAAAAUACAAGAGAAAGUGGAUAUAUUAAAAUAAAAAUAAAUAAUCCUUAAAAAAAACAGCUCCUUUUAUAAUGAAGGGAUACUUUUCGGUUCUUCCUCCCACUUUUACAUGGUGAAUUUGUGAUACCUUCUCAGCCAUUAACUACUUAAAAGCGAAUACUUUUAAGAAGAUGACAUUUUAAUAAGGGGAUUCAUUUUAGAAUUCUUCAGUUCUAAAUAAUGAAGUUUAUUGUUUCAAAAUAAAUCUAAAAUGCGAAUCAGUUAUGAUUAUAUCAAGAUAUUUUUGGUGCUCUUUGUCAUAAAUAUUUUAACUUUUACAUUAACGAGAGAAUUAAUUUACACAUGUAAUAAUUCAAUAAUACUCCAAGAAAACUUCUUUGAAUUUAAUAUAUUUUUAAAGAGAAGGAAAAUAGUGUAAUAUAUUAUGAAAUCCUAUACUUACACUGGAAUGUAAUGCUUUUGUUUGUUGAUACCAUACUCAUUUUCUCUGGAAUUCUAUGAGGCUUCGGUUUCGGUAGGUUUGCCAAAUCUAAAUUAUCAAAAUAAUAAUAUUAGGAAAAUAUAAACUAAAAUAAAUACGUACAAAAGGUCUCUAAGGAUCCCGAAACUUGUGCUGUGGAGUCCACUUCAAAUGCAAAGAAAUAUUUCCCGAUUUUGCUCCAUCUAGAGGAUAAGUUUCAUUGUAUUCCCCUUCUAAGAUGACCUUAGUCAGUGUCAAGAUCACUCUUCCAAUUUUUUCCUGAAAUAAUCGCGCAUUUAAGAAAACCCUCAGUUUGAUACUGAUUUAAGAAAUGCAGUAAUAUAAGAUUGAGACGAAGAUGAUGAUAAAAUGAUGACACAAUUCUAUGCACAACACUCAUAGAAAAUUAGGACAGAAAGAUCUAAGUUGUGGAUUUCAGCCAACAAAUUCUCUAGCAAAAAAUCGUUGAAAGAAUUAUUUUUCAAAGCAAAAGUUUGCUGAAUCUAGUUUUCAAUGUCCGUAAGUUUAUGGAUGAGUAUAUCUGCAUAACCCAAUCAAAAAUCUAAUACAGUUCUAUAUAUCUAUGGAAGUAUUCAUCUCCAACUCCGCUGUUUUCAACAUGAAUCCACGUGGGAAUCCUCAUUAACAUCAAAGAAUGGGUGGGACGAAUUAGUUAAAUUGAGUCUCUAGAUGGCAUUAAUCAAAUUGAUAUCUGAUUUUUGUUCUUGUUAAAAUUGUAUUUUAAGGUUAUCCAAAUGCGUAAUUGCAGAUACAUACAUAUAUUUAUUCAAGUUAUUGAAUGAGCUUUCAAACUCAAGCAGCACUUAGAAACAAACAAUUUCAUGAGACAAAUUCACCAAGUAUCUAUCACCUUGCCAAACGUAUCAUGAUCGUAGACUUCAAGAAUUAACAUUUCGUGUAAGCCAUCCUCCACAACAAAAUCAAAUGUUUGAUUCCAAACAGGGUUUAGGGAUUCAUUUACAACCUGAGAAUACAAGAGAGAUCAUUUGAUCUAUUACAAGUAUAUAGAAAUAGUGUGUGAACAUGGAGAUGGAAUGAACAAAAUUUUUCUAAGUGGGCCGCAAGUAAAUUCAAAACAAAAAGAUUUUCUGAUCCCUUUUUUUUUUCAAAUAAUUUGCAUUCGAAUUAAACUAUUUAACAUUUCCAAUCUAUUUAAUCAUUUGAAUUUAUCUUGUUCUUCACCAAAUUGAAAUAAAUUAGAACACUCUGAUAUAGCAAAAUCUUACUCUGGUCUUGAGUUUUUUUUCUGUUUUUUUCAACAGAAGGACAACAAAUGGAUCAGCCUUGCCCAUUAAGUCCACUGCUGGCAAAUCUUCAGCUGAAAUCACUGUCACAGAUAGAACCCCUCUUACAAUCACGUUGUUUCUCCUACGUGACCCUAUAAGAUCUUCAGCCUCUGCGUCACCCGUUC
This 3750-nucleotide long non-coding RNA is filed under the name Glycine max (soybean). Its description in RNAcentral is "long non-coding RNA (GMAX_LNC001173)". The record is from RNAcentral. Lineage: Eukaryota; Viridiplantae; Streptophyta; Magnoliopsida; Fabales; Fabaceae.